CGGCGGACGGGUGAGUAACACGUGGAUAACUUACCUAUAAGACUGGGAUAACUUCGGGAAACCGGAGCUAAUACCGGAUAAUAUAUUGAACCGCAUGGUCCAAUAGUGAAAGACGGUUUUGCUGUCACUUAUAGAUGGAUCCGCGCCGCAUUAGCUAGUUGGUAAGGUAACGGCUUACCAAGGCAACGAUGCGUAGCCGACCUGAGAGGGUGAUCGGCCACACUGGAACUGAGACACGGUCCAGACUCCUACGGGAGGCAGCAGUC
This 266-nucleotide ribosomal RNA is filed under the name uncultured Staphylococcus sp. RNAcentral describes it as "partial 16S ribosomal RNA". It matches the Rfam family "Bacterial small subunit ribosomal RNA", at positions 96 to 355 of the family's 1533-position model. Lineage: Bacteria; Bacillati; Bacillota; Bacilli; Caryophanales; Staphylococcaceae. The record is from RNAcentral.